Molecule: transfer RNA, 75 nt
Filed under: Candidatus Hydrothermarchaeota archaeon
Lineage: Archaea; Methanobacteriati; Candidatus Hydrothermarchaeota
Description: tRNA-Arg
Rfam family: tRNA
About the family: Transfer RNA (tRNA) molecules are approximately 80 nucleotides in length. Their secondary structure includes four short double-helical elements and three loops (D, anti-codon, and T loops). Further hydrogen bonds mediate the characteristic L-shaped molecular structure. tRNAs have two regions of fundamental functional importance: the anti-codon, which is responsible for specific mRNA codon recognition, and the 3' end, to which the tRNAs corresponding amino acid is attached (by aminoacyl-tRNA synthetases). tRNAs cope with the degeneracy of the genetic code in two manners: having more than one tRNA (with a specific anti-codon) for a particular amino acid; and 'wobble' base-pairing, i.e. permitting non-standard base-pairing at the 3rd anti-codon position.
Source: RNAcentral
GGGCUCGUAGCCUAGUCAGGAUAGGGCGGCAGCCUCCUAAGCUGCAGGCCGCGGGUUCGAAUCCCGCCGGGCCCG